UCUCCGUAGGUGAACCUGCGGAAGGAUCAUUAUUGAGAUGUUACGGCGCCCUGUUAGUUGUUGCACUGUAGAGUCAGUGCUGGCUUCUGAAGUAUGUGCACGCUUUACUUGUAGCUCUAACUUGGUGAUAGCCGUUUCUUAUCCAUCCACCUGUGCACUUUUUGUAGGAGUUUUUAUUAGGUUGGCUUUCAAGUCGAAAGACUUUGUUAGUUGGCGUAAUAGGACUUCUAUGUCUUUACAAACCAUUGAAGUAUGUCUAGAAUGUAAUUUUACUGGGACGUCAUUGACCCUUUAAACUUUAUACAACUUUCAGCAACGGAUCUCUUGGCUCUC
Molecule: unclassified non-coding RNA, 333 nt
Filed under: plant metagenome
Description: partial contains small subunit ribosomal RNA, internal transcribed spacer 1, and 5.8S ribosomal RNA
Source: RNAcentral